CAUUAUGAAGCUAAAAUAGCAUUAACCUUUUAAGUUAAAGAAUGAGAAUACAAUUUCUCCAUAAUGA
RNAcentral lists this transfer RNA (67 nucleotides) under Muscardinus avellanarius (hazel dormouse). Its description in RNAcentral is "tRNA-Lys". It matches the Rfam family "tRNA". Rfam says of the family: Transfer RNA (tRNA) molecules are approximately 80 nucleotides in length. Their secondary structure includes four short double-helical elements and three loops (D, anti-codon, and T loops). Further hydrogen bonds mediate the characteristic L-shaped molecular structure. tRNAs have two regions of fundamental functional importance: the anti-codon, which is responsible for specific mRNA codon recognition, and the 3' end, to which the tRNAs corresponding amino acid is attached (by aminoacyl-tRNA synthetases). tRNAs cope with the degeneracy of the genetic code in two manners: having more than one tRNA (with a specific anti-codon) for a particular amino acid; and 'wobble' base-pairing, i.e. permitting non-standard base-pairing at the 3rd anti-codon position. Lineage: Eukaryota; Metazoa; Chordata; Mammalia; Rodentia; Gliridae. The record is from RNAcentral.